UGUAUCUGAAGCCUGACGAGGAUGAGAACCUCCGGGGGCAGGAGGUUCGACCCGAGCGCAGCGAGAGAACGUUGCGUCAGCAACGGCCCGCAGGGCGAGCCACGCAGUGGCGAGUCAUCCUCUAUCACCGACCA
RNAcentral lists this small RNA (134 nucleotides) under Salmonella enterica. Its description in RNAcentral is "RtT sRNA". It matches the Rfam family "RtT RNA". Rfam says of the family: This family represents a bacterial cis-regulatory element known as RtT RNA. The exact function of RtT is unknown although it is thought that it may be involved in changing the cellular response in relation to amino acid starvation. RNAcentral also lists the same sequence under 1 other name. The record is from RNAcentral. Lineage: Bacteria; Pseudomonadati; Pseudomonadota; Gammaproteobacteria; Enterobacterales; Enterobacteriaceae.